GAUGAACGCUGGCGGCGUGCCUAAUACAUGCAAGUCGAGCGAACAGACGAGGAGCUUGCUCCUCUGACGUUAGCGGCGGACGGGUGAGUAACACGUGGAUAACCUACCUAUAAGACUGGGAUAACUUCGGGAAACCGGAGCUAAUACCGGAUAAUAUAUUGAACCGCAUGGUUCAAUAGUGAAAGACGGUUUUGCUGUCACUUAUAGAUGGAUCCGCGCCGCAUUAGCUAGUUGGUAAGGUAACGGCUUACCAAGGCAACGAUGCGUAGCCGACCUGAGAGGGUGAUCGGCCACACUGGAACUGAGACACGGUCCAGACUCCGACGGGAGGCAGCAGUAGGGAAUCUUCCGCAAUGGGCGAAAGCUUGACGGAGCAACGCCGCGUGAGUGAUGAAGGUCUUCGGAUCGUAAAACGCUGUUAUUAGGGAAGAACAAAUGUGUAAGUAACGAUGCACGUCUUGACGGUACCUAAUCAGAAAGCCACGGCUAACUACGU
RNAcentral lists this ribosomal RNA (496 nucleotides) under uncultured bacterium. RNAcentral's name for it is "partial 16S ribosomal RNA". It matches the Rfam family "Bacterial small subunit ribosomal RNA", at positions 28 to 506 of the family's 1533-position model. The record is from RNAcentral.